GACGAACGCUGGCGGCGUGCUUAACACAUGCAAGUCGAACGGAAAGGCCCUGCUUUUGUGGGGUGCUCGAGUGGCGAACGGGUGAUUAACACGUGUGUAACCUGCCCUUGACUUUGGGAUAACUUCAGGAAACUGGGGCUAAUACCGGAUAGGAGCUCCUGCUGCAUGGUGGGGGUUGGAAAGUUUCGGCGGUUGGGGAUGGACUCGCGGCUUAUCAGCUUGUUGGUGGGGUAGUGGCUUACCAAGGCUUUGACGGGUAGCAGGCCUGAGAGGGUGACCGGCCACAUUGGGACUGAGAUACGGCCCAGACUCCUACGGGAGGCAGCAGUGGGGAAUAUUGCACAAUGGGCGGAAGCCUGAUGCAGCAACGCCGCGUGCGGGAUGACGGCCUUCGGGUUGUAAACCGCUUUCGCCUGUGACGAAGCGUGAGUGACGGUAAUGGGUAAAGAAGCACCGGCUAACUACGUG
This 468-nucleotide ribosomal RNA is filed under the name uncultured bacterium. RNAcentral's name for it is "partial 16S ribosomal RNA". It matches the Rfam family "Bacterial small subunit ribosomal RNA", at positions 28 to 507 of the family's 1533-position model. The record is from RNAcentral.